CAUUAUACAUGAACACACAUCUGUAUUAUGAAGUGAGGUGUGUGUGUGAGAGAGAAAGGGAAAAAAGAGAGAUUUCCCACAUUAUGACAAGUUGUGUAACUCCCCUUUUCUAAUACCUAAUAAAUACAGCACUACCGUGGGGUUUCUAAGACUUAAGUAAUAUGUUUGCAGCCUGGGUAGUAAUUCAGUUUGUUAUCCUGGCAAUUUGAGAUAACUGCACCUGCCAACAGAACCCUUGAUGUCACUCAUCCUGUCACUGUAUUACUAUUGUCAGCACCAUGACAUCUUGGCAUUUCUUUUCCCAGAUUGCGCUUCUUUCAACUUAUUAUUCUUUGCAAAACACUGCAUUAGUGUUAUCCACUCAUGAAAACUACAACUUUAAAAAAAAAUUUUUAUUAAAGUAUAGUUUAUUUACAAUGUUCUGUCAAUUUCCACUAUACAGCAAAGGGACCAAGUCUUACAAAUAUACAGAUACGCACACAUACGUGUAUGUAUAUACACACACACACACACACACACACACACACACACACGUAUAUACAUAUAUAUGUGUGUGUAUUCUUUUUCCCACAUUAUCACCUGUCAUAUUCUUUCCCAAGUGAUUGGAUAUCAUUCCGUAUGCAGAAUCUCAUUGCUUACCCAUUCUAAAUGUAAUAGUUUUCACCUAUUAACCCCAAACUUCCAGUCGAUCCCACUCCCUUGACCUCUGCCUUGGCAACCACAAGUCUGUUUUCCAUGUCUGUGAAUCUGUUUAUAUUCUGUAGAUAGAUUUAUCUGUGCAUAUUUUAGAUUCCACAUAUAAGUGAUAGUAUUUGGUAUUUGUCUUUCUCUUUCUGACUUACUUCACUUAGCCUGAGACUCUCUAGUUAGUAUAUGUUGCUGCAAAUGGCAUGAUUUUGUUCUUUUUUAUAGCUGAGUGGUACUCCAUUGUAUAUAUCUACUACAUCUUCUUAAUCCAUUUGCUGUCAAUGGACAUUUAGGUUGUUUCCAUGUCUUGGCUAUUGUGACUAGUGCUUCAAAGAACAUAGGGGUGCAUAUAUCUUUUUGAAUGAAGUUUUUGUCCAGAUAUAUGCCCAGGAAUAGGAUUUUUGGUUCAUAUUUAGUUUUUAGAGGAAUCUCCAUACUGUUUUCCAUAGUGCUUGUACCAAUUUACAUCCCACCAACAGUGUAGGAGGGUUCCCUUUCCUCCACACCCUCUCAGCAUUUGUUUUUUGUAGACUUAUUAAUGAUAACCAUUCUGACCAGUGUGAGGUGAUACCUCAAUGCAGUUUUGAUUUGCAUUUAUCCAAUAAUUAGUAAUGCUGAGCAUUUUUUCACAUGCCUGUUGGCCAUCUGUAUGUCUUCUUUGCAGAAAUGUCUAUUUAGGGUUUCUGCCCAUUUUUUGAUUGGGUUGUUGGGAAAACUACAACUUUUCAUUUUUGAUGUAAUAAUGAUGGAAGAAAAGACAAUGUAUAGUCUUCAGGUUGGAAAUACUUCUAAAUUCUGAUAGGAAAAUAAAAUGAGCCUAGUAAUGAUUGAAAAAAAUGAGGCUUAGUCACAGAAUAAAUGAUUUUCACAGUUUUUCAUCUUUUUUUUAACAACUUCUUUGACCAAAAAUAAUCUAACGUGAUUUUUUUUAUGUUUUUAUUUCCAUUUAUUUGCAAAAUAGAAUUCUGUCUUGUUCUCUGAUUACCCUAUAAGUUCAUGUUUCUUCAGUAUGGAAAGUACCAAAAGUACCUCUAGAAAUUAUGUUCCUCUGCCAGCACACCAAAAAGUGUCAACAAAAGUUUCCUCUCAUCCUGCCUAUCACCAAUCUUCCAUUACAGUGUAUCUGAAGCUAAGCUAAGUAGACAAACAUUCUCCCACUGUUUCUUACUUUGAAAAUCCAGAUUAUAUAAUAUCUAUAUAUGAUGUCUUUAACUUUUAUAUUCACAACUUUUAUCUCCUUAAGGAUUCCUAUUAUAGAGGCAGAGAGUUUUAAAGCAGGAGCCUUGACAUGAUAAACUCGGGUUCAAAUUUUACCUCUACCAGUUACCAGCUUUCGAACCUCAGCCAAAUGCUUCACUUUUCUGAGCCUCAGUUUUCUCUUCUGCAGAAUAUGGAACUUUGGGCACAGAGUAGCUGGGAAAUUUAAAUGAGAAAAUAUAUACGAAGCAAUAACCAGCACCUGUCACAUAGGAAGUGAUCAGUAGAGGUUAGCUUCACAGGCCCUCUAAUCAUGACUAUAGUUAUAAUUUCUGGUUAUGAACUGGAUGGAGAAAAGAAAAAUAUAUAUAUUUGUAUGUAACAAUAGGCUCGUAUCCAAACUUGGGACGAAAGCACAGGCAAUAUUCUAAUUUACCUUUUCUAAUUUGAAUAUUAAAAAUGAUAUAGCCUCAUAACUGGAAAAUGGGAAACUUCCCAUGUGGUUGUUUCUUUUUUAAAAAAUUUUCAAGGAGAGUUGCAACUGUUUGUUUCAAUGGACUGAAGUAAGAGGCCAUUUGACUAAGCUUCUGAGUCAUGCACCACUUUUUAAAGUAUGCUGCUGGAAGAAACCUAGGUGCAAAUUCUGUUCAAUAUAUUCUGUUGUGCUGUCUGUCUCCUGCUGUGAAUGAGUCAUAAGGCGUGGGCACAAGAAAGUAUCAAAUAAUUAUGUCUUCAAGAUCUAACUUACUCAUCUCCAGCAGACGUGUGAUCUGAAAGUAUGAUUUCCAUGCCCCCGAGGGUGCAGCAGUUGAGUACUUCUUCUGGCUUCAUAGGUAGGAAGUUUACACAUCACACGGUACUGGGUCCGCAUCCUUGGGGUUACAGCGAAUUGAACCGUAACACUCUCAUGUAAAUAAGAUGAUGCUGUGCAGUGCAUUCUUUAGUUUUUCAUUUUAGGACAGGUAGUUACACAGACUUUAAAAUAUGCUACCUCAUACUCAAAACAGGAAACUUUUUGGUUUACCCUGAAUAAGAAUAAAAAUAUUCCAGAACUUCCAAUAAUAUAUUUGCCAUACAUCAUUCGUGUAAACAUUAAAAUAUUUAAAUUUUAGUUCCCCAAAGGCUUUUCAAUUAAUAGCUAAGAUUGUGAGUCAAAUUUAGUUAUGGCCAAUAAAAUUAGUCCUCAAAGCACAUAUUUAUAUAUUUACACGUGGAAUCUAAAAAAAGGACUCAAUGAACUUCUUUGCAGAACAGAUACUGACUCACAGACUUUGAAAAACUUAUGGUCUCCAAAUCAGACAGGUUGGGGUGUGGGGUAAUGGGCUACGGGUUUGGGAUGGAAAUGUUAUAAUUGGGUUGUGAUGAUCAUUGUACAAUUAUAAAUGUAAUAAAAUUCAUAAUAAAUAAAUAAAUGGGAAAAAAAUGUAUUGGAGUACGGUUGACUUACAAUGUUGUGCUAGUUUCAGGUGUACAGGCAAAAGAAUCAGUCAACAUAUACAUGUGUCCAUUCUUUUUCCCAGAUAGGCUAUUACAAACUAUUGAGUAGAUUUCCCUGUGCUCUCCAGCACGUUCUUGUUAACUAUCUAUUUUCUACAGUAGUGUGUAUAUGUUAUUUCCAUCCUCUUAAUACCUCCCUCUCCCCAUGGUUUCCUCUGUGGUAACAGUAACUUUGAUUUUGAAAUCUGUAAGUUUGUUCCUAUUUUAUAAACCAGUUCUUUUGUGUCAUAUUUAUUAGAUUCCACAUAUAAGAAUGUCUAAAAAAAUCCCUCAUAACAGUGAUGUAUUCAUAUAGAGGCUGAAAUAUAUAAUUGUCUCCUAUUUUAUAAAACCACUGUUUUUUUAAAGGGCUUUUAUAAAUAUGCUUUUGAAAUCUCACUACUUUCUUUUUCCCCAGUAAUCUCACAAGAACAUAGCAAUGUGCCUAUAAAUCUCCAGUGGCCUACAUUUAGAAAAAAAUUUAAGUGUCUCUCAUUUAUUUUAUGUAAGAUUCAUUCAUUUCUAUUUAAAAGCUCUUUCACUUGUGCUCCUGCAUGAAAAUAGUGCCUCAAGUGAACAGAAAACAACUAUCAUUACAAAAACUCAACAACAAAGAUUCCUAUAUCAUUUUCCUUUAUUUUACUUAACUAUCUUCUAUUUUGUCACUUAUUUAAAUAGAGCUAAAGAUUUUUUAAAUAAAAAAUCUUGCGUGGAUUUCAAAGUUAGAGAAAUGUCUCCAUAGACUAGAAUAUAGUAGCUCUACUACAGUAUCAUAUCUCUAUUCCCCAUAGCAAAAGUCCAGUCUCUGAACCAUAGGUCUAGAAACUCCACAUGUAUAUUCAUACACACUUAGGCUAAUGUUCAAAACUAAAGGAAUCAAUUUAUUUUCUAGAAGCUUUCACUAUAGCUGAAUUUUCACAGCACACUGGGCAGAAAACUAGAGAAUACCUGGUGUUUCAAAUUACUAUCCAAACACAAGGAUAGUGAUAACCAUAUACUUAAUAUUUACCAUUAGCCAGAGAAGGUAGAUCACACACAUAACUAAAACAAAUGCACUGACUGUGCUCAAAGUUAACAAGGAAAUAAGUGCCCCGUGGUGUGGGAGUUCACAGAAGUGAGGCAGCCCUUCUCUAUGGAAAGAACAGGGAAGUUUUCUUAGGAAGUACCAUAGUCUGUUUUACAUGUCAUCUUGGCUGCCCAUGAGGUAUCCAGAUAUUUAGUUAAACUUAUUCAGGGUGUACCUGUGAGUGUGUUUCUGAAUGAGAUUAAUCUUUGAAAACAGGUAGACUGAGUAAAGCAGAUUGUCCUCCCCAAUGUGGAUGGGUCUCAUCCAAUCUGUUGAUUGAAGAAGAGGUGGGAUAAAGGAGAAUUCUUUCUAUUCCCUUUCUCUCUUCAAACUGGAACAUCAACCUUCCCCUGACUUUCCACCUUUCAACUCACACUCAAACUGGAACUAUAUUGCCAGCAAUCCUGGGUCUCCAACUUGCCAGUUUUCCCAGAUUAAUACAUAAAGUCAGCAUAUAGGCUUGAUUUAACUAGGUAGAAGUCAAUCAGAUUCUACUAAGGAUAGAAUUGUCAGGUACCAUGGGAGCAAAAACAUUCCAGCAAAAAAAAUAAUAGUGUUGAUAUUUAAAAAAUAAAAGUAGGGAGUUCCUGUUGGAGGCUUGCCAGAUAUGCAUGUAUACGGGCCAUAGUGAAUCAAAGAAACUAGAUUGCACUUGAAGAAUGAUGCUAAUCUAGGCUUGCAAAAUAUAUAAGACUUUCCCAGACCCCUGGGGGAAAGGGCGUGAGACAGGAAAUGUACAUCAUUUGAGUGGCUGCUUGAAAGCAAGUUUCCAAAUCCUCCAGAUGUCAUCGAUGGAAAGCCAUUGACAUUCUUGUUCUCAUGACCAGAACCUUAAGGGAGUUGGAGAAAAGGGAGCAAUAGCCUUAAGCAUAAACAAUAUAAUCUUUCUCUGGAGGGUUAAUUAUUUAUAACAUCUAUGAAUACAAAGGGUCUGUGCCUG
RNAcentral lists this long non-coding RNA (5366 nucleotides) under Sus scrofa (pig). Its description in RNAcentral is "lncRNA (ENSSSCG00040052318.1)". The record is from RNAcentral. Lineage: Eukaryota; Metazoa; Chordata; Mammalia; Artiodactyla; Suidae.